GCCGAAGUGGUGGAAUUGGUAGACACGUCGGUCUCAAAAACCGAUGCCCUCAGGGCGUGCCGGUUCGAAUCCGGCCUUCGGUA
This 83-nucleotide transfer RNA is filed under the name Geothermobacter ehrlichii. It matches the Rfam family "tRNA". From Rfam's summary of the family: Transfer RNA (tRNA) molecules are approximately 80 nucleotides in length. Their secondary structure includes four short double-helical elements and three loops (D, anti-codon, and T loops). Further hydrogen bonds mediate the characteristic L-shaped molecular structure. tRNAs have two regions of fundamental functional importance: the anti-codon, which is responsible for specific mRNA codon recognition, and the 3' end, to which the tRNAs corresponding amino acid is attached (by aminoacyl-tRNA synthetases). tRNAs cope with the degeneracy of the genetic code in two manners: having more than one tRNA (with a specific anti-codon) for a particular amino acid; and 'wobble' base-pairing, i.e. permitting non-standard base-pairing at the 3rd anti-codon position. The record is from Rfam by way of RNAcentral. Lineage: Bacteria; Pseudomonadati; Thermodesulfobacteriota; Desulfuromonadia; Desulfuromonadales; Geothermobacteraceae.